Musa acuminata AAA Group (dessert banana) is the source of this 528-nucleotide long non-coding RNA. RefSeq lists it as uncharacterized. The transcript has 2 exons. Lineage: Eukaryota; Viridiplantae; Streptophyta; Magnoliopsida; Zingiberales; Musaceae. The record is from RefSeq and is a predicted model, not a curated record.
AUGUAUUUAUCCACAUUCAUCGUCGCGUCGCGAGUAGUGGGCAACGGUGGGCGCCUUGCAGCAGGCUACCUCUCCAAACCUAUACAAGCAAAAGCGAACGAGUGAGGAGCAUGGCGUCUCAUGAUAGCAGAAGAAGAAGAAGAGGACUUGCCGUUCUCGCUUUCGUUGCCUCCAUGUUCUGGUUGCUGGCAUCGCAGUCCAUUUGCGACGGCCGAGUGUUGAACUACUCGAUUGAUCCGAGCUUGUGGUUGGCGCAUCGUCAAAUACGCUAUGGUCCAUUGGGUUGCAGUACGCCUGAUGGUAAAAAGAAGUGUCAUCCUCCCGUGACGGUCAGGGACCCUAAACCUCAUCAACCGGCCACGCUUGCAGUACCAACUCCGCCUUAACCAAGCAUGACAUGACGGCCGCCCUUUCAAGUCCUUCCGCCACCACCACCACUACUUAUCUCUCUCUCUCUCUCUCGUCCAUGAUCUAUCAUGUGUCUAUGACAUGUACGACAUAAUUAAAAUAAAUUGGAUUAUUGUGUUA